Non-coding RNA from Cherax quadricarinatus, 361 nucleotides. The record is from RefSeq and is a predicted model, not a curated record. Lineage: Eukaryota; Metazoa; Arthropoda; Malacostraca; Decapoda; Parastacidae.
UAAAGCUGUGACAUCUGGUCUACGUGAUGGCUUACUUUGUAUAUAUUGUGUUUUGACCAAAGUUCAGUGGCAUCACACGUCUUUAAGACCACAGGUGACAUCACACGUCUUUAAGACCACAGGUGACAUCACACGUCUUUAAGACCACAGGUGACAUCACACAUCUUUAAGACCACAGGUGACAUCACACGUCUUUAAGACCACAGGUGACAUCACACGUCUUUAAGACCACAGGUGACAUCACACGUCUUUAAGACCACAGGUGACAUCACACAUCUUUAAGACCACAGGUGACAUCACACAACAUUGUCUAAGACAGUUUUUUUGGGUAAAUCUUUACCGCCUUUCUUGCAUAUUAUUA